GAUGAACGCUAGCGACAGGCCUAACACAUGCAAGUCGAGGGGCAGCAUUUCUAGCUUGCUAGAAGAUGGCGACCGGCGCACGGGUGAGUAACGCGUAUGCAACCUACCUUACAUUGGGGGAUAGCCCAGAGAAAUCUGGAUUAAUACCGCAUAAUAUAUUUGAAUCGCAUGGUUUAAAUAUUAAAACUCCGGUGAUGUAAGAUGGGCAUGCGUAGCAUUAGUUAGUUGGUGAGGUAACGGCUCACCAAGACGAUGAUGCUUAGGGGGUCUGAGAGGAUAGUCCCCCACACUGGUACUGAGACACGGACCAGACUCCUACGGGAGGCAGCAGUGAGGAAUAUUGGUCAAUGGACGCAAGUCUGAACCAGCCAUGUCGCGUGCAGGAUGACGGCCCUAUGGGUUGUAAACUGCUUUUUUACAGGAAUAAUUGCUUCUACGUGUAGAAGUUUGAAUGUACUGUAUGAAUAAGGAUCGGCUAACUCCGUGCCAGCAGCCGCGGUAAUACGGAGGAUUCGAGCGUUAUCCGGAUUUAUUGGGUUUAAAGGGUUCGUAGGCGGUCUUUUAAGUCAGUGGUGAAAUCCCAGAGCUCAACUCUGGAACUGCCAUUGAAACUGAAAGACUUGAAUAUGGUUGAGGUAGGCGGAAUACGUUAUGUAGCGGUGAAAUGCAUAGAUAUAACGUAGAACACCAAUUGCGAAGGCAGCUUACUAAACCAUUAUUGACGCUGAUGGACGAAAGCGUGGGGAGCGAACAGGAUUAGAUACCCUGGUAGUCCACGCCGUAAAGCGAUGAUUACUCGUUGUGCACAAUACACCGUGCGUGACUGAGCGAAAGCAUUAAGUAAUCCACCUGGGGAGUACGUGCGCAAGAAUGAAACUCAAAGGAAUUGACGGGGGCCCGCACAAGCGGAGGAACAUGUGGUUUAAUUCGAUGAUACGCGAGGAACCUUACCUGGACUUAAAUGUAGAUUGACCGGUUUAGAAAUAGAUCUUUCCUUCGGGACAAUUUACAAGGUGCUGCAUGGUUGUCGUCAGCUCGUGCCGUGAGGUGUCGGGUUAAGUCCCGCAACGAGCGCAACCCUCGUGUUUAGUUACUAACAGUUCGGCUGAGGACUCUAAACAGACUGCCUGGGUAACCAGGAGGAAGGUGAGGACGACGUCAAGUCAUCAUGGCCCUUACGGCCAGGGCUACACACGUGCUACAAUGGGGUAUACAAAGAGCCGCGAUACCGUGAGGUGGAGCAAAUCUCAUAAAAUAUCUCCCAGUUCGGAUUGAAGUCUGCAACUCGACUUCAUGAAGUUGGAAUCGCUAGUAAUCGUGAAUCAGCAACGUCACGGUGAAUACGUUCCCGGGUCUUGUACUCACCGCCCGUCACACCAUGGGAAUUGAAUUCAUUCGAAGCGGGGAUGCUAAAGUAGCUACCUUCCACAGUGGAUUUAGUGACUAGGGUGAAGUCGUAACAAGGUAACC
RNAcentral lists this ribosomal RNA (1470 nucleotides) under uncultured Bacteroidota bacterium. RNAcentral's name for it is "bacterial SSU rRNA". It matches the Rfam family "Bacterial small subunit ribosomal RNA". The record is from RNAcentral. Lineage: Bacteria; Pseudomonadati; Bacteroidota.